UNGGAAGCUGCAGAUGAGGGAUGUGGUC
RNAcentral lists this non-coding RNA (28 nucleotides) under Mus musculus (house mouse). Lineage: Eukaryota; Metazoa; Chordata; Mammalia; Rodentia; Muridae. The record is from RNAcentral.